Molecule: unclassified non-coding RNA, 479 nt
Filed under: Lumbriculus variegatus
Lineage: Eukaryota; Metazoa; Annelida; Clitellata; Lumbriculida; Lumbriculidae
Description: sequence contains ITS2
Rfam family: 5.8S ribosomal RNA (bases 4-124)
Source: RNAcentral
GGGUCGAUGAAGAACGCAGCCAGCUGCGUGAAUUAAUGUGAAUUGCAGGACACAUUGAACGUCGAUAUCUUGAACGCAUAUUGCGGCCUCGGGCAAUCCCGAGGCCAAGCCUGUCUCAGGGUCGGUUGAAUUACAAUCGCGGGUUGCACUCUGCCCGCGCAUUGGGCCGUCUCGGACGACGCUGGACGACGAUCGAUCGGUUGCACUCUGCCGAUUGUCGUCGCCGUCGACGCCCGAGUCGCCUUAAGUUUAGACGUGCGGUCGCUCGUUGGAUGUCAGCUGUCGCGGUCAAUAGCGGCAGCGAUCGUCGGACGGGACGGAGACUCGGUACUCGUUGAGCCAUCCGUCUCCCGUCGUCGACGAUGCAUCCGAGGGGCGCCUGACCGCAUCGGAACUGGAAAUUAGUUCGCUCUCGCGAACGCCAACGAUUCGUUCUCGACCUGAGAUCAGACUAGAUUACCCGCUGAAUUUAAGCAUAU